UUUCCUUUUGUUCUAAAAAAUCUACAUCUUCCCCUCUACUUUUGUAACCGCGUUGUUCUUUCCUCUUCGAGAAAAACGAGCGGGAAGAGAAGAGAGAGCAACGACAUGAAAUCCACAAGCACCAUCACCUCCAUCUUCCUCGUGACGGCCAUGCUCGUCCUCGUCCUCCUGCCCACAACUCACGCAACCCUAAAAUCUAAUGUCAAGUAUGCGGUGGGGACGAACAACCACACCAACUACUUGAGUGUGCGGUGCUUCUCAUUCAGUGAUGGUGAACCACCUUGCCUCGGGGGGCCAAUACGAGUUCAAGGUGAUGAAGCGGGCGGUCUACCCUUCCUCCACCAUGUACAUUUGCUCCACUAACAUGGGCACCUUCGUCGUCUAAACAUACGACUAUGAGUGCACUAGUGACGAGUAAGAGAAAUGUGACGGGCGAUUUGAUGAAGAUAAAUAGUGCUUAUAGAUGGGAACCAAACCUCAGUCUUUAACUAGUGUUGUUUUCCUUUGUGUUUUUGUACAAACACUAUUGUUAGAUGGCAUGAUUAGAUCAUUAUUUAAUCUAACAGUAGUAUUUUAUGUACUAAUUUGAACUUACGAUUUGUAUUUUAUGUUUGGAUUUGGGCUUA
Salvia splendens (bonfire salvia) is the source of this 626-nucleotide long non-coding RNA. RefSeq lists it as uncharacterized. The record is from RefSeq and is a predicted model, not a curated record. Lineage: Eukaryota; Viridiplantae; Streptophyta; Magnoliopsida; Lamiales; Lamiaceae. The transcript has 2 exons.